Molecule: unclassified non-coding RNA, 164 nt
Filed under: soil metagenome
Description: partial internal transcribed spacer 1
Source: RNAcentral
GUGAAUUAAACAUGCUUGGUGUCUUCGCUUCGGCAGGCCCUUGCUUAAAUCACAUCCUACACCUGUGAACUGUAAGACGUAUGAUGAGGUCUUUGGCCAAGUCAUCGUCUGCCCAUUUUUAACAAACAAUUAAUGUAACAAACGUAGUCUUAUUAUAACCUAAU